UAAAAAGGAAAAAAAAAUGAAGGAAACCCUAGCCCCAAUCUCUUUCCCCUUCCUUUCACGUGUAGUCCCAUUCUUAAGAAGCUUCUCUUCCUCCAUAGCAGUCUCAUUCUUCUUCUUCUUCCUUCAUAGUAGCUCCAUUCUUCUUCAUCAUCGGCGGCGACUCCACGACAGUAUUUCCCAGCGGACGACGAUGCGAACGAACCCCAUGGCGGCGUGACCCUCGGGCUGUAGCGUUUUCGAUGGUGGUGCGACAACAACAAACGCUCAGAUCUGGCGUUCUUCCUUCGAUGGCACAGAAGUGCGUGCGGCUCCUUUUGGGAGUCGUUUAGUGGCAGUGCAGUACUGUGGAUUGGAAGGAAGUUAUUUCUGUUCUAGGAAUGAGCAUCUAAACCCUGCAAAAAGGGGGAAAAAAUUCAAAGAUUCGAAGUUCAAAGUGAUGGGAGAGAGAGAAGCCAUAAGUGCAUGCGGCUCCUUUAACAGCGGCAAGGAGCAUUCGGUGGUAGGGUUGUUGCUUAUUUGGUUAAUCGAUGGUAGGGUUGUUGCACUCUUAUUAGAUGUUGAUCUGGAAAAUUUAUUUUUAGGCUGUGUUGCUUACUUUUACGAUUUUUAUUAAUUGAAGAGAUAAACAACAUAUUGUUGUUUAUGGCAGACUGUCUGGGUAAAUAAUUUUUCUCCCCUUUCUACUAUGAAAUGUGCUACUUUGUAGUUCUGCCAAACCUGAGAAAAUUAUAUUCCAUGUCUCUUCAGUUGUGCCUUUUUUUUUUUUUAGUCACGUGAUUGGUUGGAUGUGUGGUAGAGAAGAGAUUUCUAUAAAGAAUCAAUGAUGGUUACUAAUUAGAUUCGGCAUCUAAGUUCAAUUAUUAAGCUUAAUUAGUUUUCACCUAAAAGUUUAAGUUCAGGGAUAAGUGGUCUGGAGGAUCAGUUUAAUGUCAAUAUUAAAGAAAUAGGCUUUCAUCAGUUUGAAAGUUACAAUUACCAUCUUUUUUGGAGGAUUGCUCUCUCUAAUAAAGUAGCUGUUAAUCAUGGUCAUUGGAGGUAUUAUGCAGUAUCAAAACUUCCCGGUGAUCUUAUCUUGUAUUAUGGACUCUCUAUCUAGAAAACCACUUCAAUGAUUGGAUUUUCAUAUAAGCUUUCAACAUAUUGUCAUCCGAGUUAAGCAAAUCAGAUAAAGCCAUGAGGAUUGUUAUCAGAACGAAAUUCUAUCUCUUUCUCCUCUUAGGUUAGGAUUGUGAAAGAUGGUAAAAAUCUAAUACAAAUUUUUUAUUUUAUAAUUGUAGAGAAUGUUUAAUUAGUUCUUGUGUCUUAUCCAAAAAAGUUUAAUUAGUUCUUGUGGUAGUUUUUCUAAAUUGCGUUGUUUUGAAAGAUUUGUGGUAGAUUACUCACUUACAUGGUUAGUCAUGAACUUUUUGUCUUGAAGAGGUAAAUAAUAACAUUUUGUAUUUAAGUCUCUAGAUUUAGGUUGCGUAGCUUAAGCUUUUAGGAUUUUUAGCAAUUAAAGUUAUUCUGGAGUUUUUGAUGACGACUAAAAUUUCUUGUUUCGUUGUAGGUGAUCACUUUCUGAAGAUGAUGAUGAUGAGGUUAUUGAAUAAAAAAUUAAAGCUUUCUUGGAUGAAAAUGUAUGGAUUUUCAAUUUGAGUCUUUGGAUAAGUGACUAUUUUGUCUUUCUAAUCAACAUUUUGUCUGCCCUUUUAUUAAAUGCACUUGUCGACUCUUACUUGUUCGGUUUGUUUUGCAAUAAUUUAGGCUUUUGAAUUGAAGAAAAUGCAGACAGACAUACCUAUAUUUGCAAUGCCUUAGGCUUGAUCAUCAGCUUUUCCAACUAUAUGGCCAUGAUGAAAAAUAUCAUUAAUACAUUUUUUGACGUUGAGUAUAUCCUUUACUGCAUUGGGUCUUUGAUGUGGCUUAGGAAGGAUAAGCCGAAUACUCUAAUAUCCAUAAUUUACAUCACAAGGAGUAGCUUGCGGGAGCAACAUUUUGAGAAAGGAUAAUGUAUAGGGAAGAGUUUCGACGUAUUUUCGACAUGUACGAGGUUGAUGUAAUGUGAAUAUAGUUCGUUGGACAUUCUCUUAUUGUAUUCAUAGACUUAUAGUAUAACAUUUGUAUAAAAUAUCCUAAUGUACAAAUUUGAUCCGACUUUGAUCUUAUUAUAUGCAACUUUGUUACAUUUUAUAAUUUAUAGAUAUAGAUAAUUUUUUUUGAAA
This is a long non-coding RNA of Momordica charantia (bitter melon), 2201 nucleotides long. RefSeq lists it as uncharacterized. The record is from RefSeq and is a predicted model, not a curated record. NCBI's taxonomy places the organism in Eukaryota, Viridiplantae, Streptophyta, Magnoliopsida, Cucurbitales, Cucurbitaceae.